Gossypium arboreum is the source of this 145-nucleotide microRNA precursor. It matches the Rfam family "MIR7502 microRNA precursor family". The record is from Rfam. NCBI's taxonomy places the organism in Eukaryota, Viridiplantae, Streptophyta, Magnoliopsida, Malvales, Malvaceae.
UACUAAAAUUUUUAUCUUUUUAUAGUGUUAAAAAUUGAUACGAUAGACAAAAUAACUGAACAGUAACACUAAGUGUGCCACAUAUAACUCAUGUUGAUGUAUAACGGUCGAUUUUUAAUAAUAGAAGUGGAUAAAAUUGUUAACA